GAUGAACGCUGACAGAAUGCUUAACACAUGCAAGUCCACUUGAACUUCGGUUUGGGUGGCGGACGGGUGAGUAACGCGUAAAGAACUUGCCUCACAGAUAGGGACAACAUUUGGAAACGAAUGCUAAUACCUGAUAUUAUGAUUAUAUGGCAUCGUAUAAUUAUGAAAGCUAUAUGCGCUGUGAGAGAGCUUUGCGUCCCAUUAGCUAGUUGGAGAGGUAACGGCUCACCAAGGCGAUGAUGGGUAGCCGGCCUGAGAGGGUGAGCGGCCACAAGGGGACUGAGACACGGCCCUUACUCCUACGGGAGGCAGCAGUGGGGAAUAUUGGACAAUGGACCAAGAGUCUGAUCCAGCAAUUCUGUGUGCACGAUGAAGUUUUUCGGAAUGUAAAGUGCCUUCAGUUGGGAAGAAAAAAAUGACGGUACCAACAGAAGAAGUGACGGCUAAAUACGUG
Molecule: ribosomal RNA, 454 nt
Filed under: uncultured bacterium
Lineage: Bacteria
Description: partial 16S ribosomal RNA
Rfam family: Bacterial small subunit ribosomal RNA
Source: RNAcentral